UAGCAACCAGAACUAAAAUAAGGCCUUGGAGUAGACUUCACCAUUUGUUCAAACAAACAUCAUGCUGGUCUUCUGGACUGCGCAGAUCUCACAGAGGAAAGGAUGAAGGCAAAGCUGCUCUGAGGAGGCUGCCCCUGGGAGAGGAAGCAGGCUCACUCCUUGGCCUCCCCUGAGCACCAACGGCUCCCAGGCGCUUCAUAGCCAACGUCUAGUUUAAUGCUUCCUCCAAGGUAAGUGUCAUCACCUCACAUCACUACAGGGACGCUCAGGCUCAAGAGCUUAGGAACCUGUGUGCCUCCACAGCUAGCAAGCAGUGGAGCUGCCCUUUAAUCGAGGCCCGCCUGGCUCUAAAGACCAAGAUGGUUUCCACUCGACCAUGACAGUUUGUAACACCUUGAUUUAAUAAUUUUAAAAAAGAGGGCUGGGGUUGUGGCUCAGUGGCAGAGGGCUUGCCUAGCACGUGUGAGGCACUGUGUUUGAUCCUUAGCACCACAUAACAAUAAAUAAAUAAAAGAAAGGUAUUGUCCAUCUGCAAUUACCAAAAAUAAAUAAAUAAUGAAUAAUUGCUUGCUUGCUUGAUUGAUUCAGGAAAAUGCAUGAUAAUGUCCUUUGUUGAAACUGGGCUCUUAGUAAUUUAAAUACUUAGAAAAAUCUGAUUCAGGAAAUGGAUAACAUCUUAUUCUAGAAUAUAUGUUAUAAAAAGCUGAAAGAUGGCUCACUCCUUUGUUUAUUUGUUUCAUUCAGCAAAUAUUUGCUAUGUCCUGACCAUGCCAUUCUAGGUACUGGAUACGUCAUGUUGCACAAACACAGACAAGGUGGCUGUCUUCAUGGAACUGACAUUGUAUUAAGAAGACAAAAAGGGGGUUGGCAUUGUGGCUCAGUGGUAAAGCUCUUACCUACCAUGUGUGAGGCACUGGGUUCGAUUCUCAGCACCGCAUAUAAAUAAAUAAAUAAAUAAAUAAAUGUUCAUCAACAACUAAAAAAUAGUUAAAAAAGAAGAAAAAAAGUAUAAACAAGAUGAGUUCAACUUAUUAAUAAGGUGAUUAUUGUAUGUUAAAGUUCUGGAAGAAAUACAAACUCGGAGAAGUGAUGUGGUGUGAUUGGAAGUCUACAUAAUUUAGCGUAAUCAGAAACAAUCUCCAUGAGAAGGCGAAAUUUAAGCUGAGACUAGAAGGUUGAGAAGAAUCUGGUCAUGUAAUUAUCUAUGGGAAAUGUUUCUGAAGCUGCAGGAAUAGCAGGUGCCAAGGCCCUGUGGUAGGAACAAGCUUAGCUAUUUGAGGGAUAAAAAGGAGGUCAAUAUGUCUGGGGCAGAUUAAAGAAAUGGGGAGCAGCAGAAAAUGAUGUGAAAGGAGGUGGGAUCAUACGGGGCCAUGACAUGGAGUUUAGACAGCAAAGUCAUUGGGAAAAUGUAAGCAAGAAGUGACAUCCAUCCUUGAGCGGACUGGAACCUUAAAGACACUUGAGCCCAAGCACCUCAUAUUGGUUCCUUUGAAGAGACCUAUCCAGAGACCCAACAGGGUCAGUUAGUGCUGAAGCCAUGUGCAAAACCCUGGAAUCCCAACUCUUCAGAAUGUUAAAGCUGAGACACCUGGAUGGCAGUGCAACCAGGCCACCUCUGUGUCUUUCUCCCGAUCAAUUCCAACAGCCUUCCUUUGUCCGACUCUCACCCUUACCUUCCUAUGGUUUUGUUGUCUACACAGUGAGCAGAACGGUCAUAUUAAGCCUGAAUUUGGAUCACAUUGCUGCUCUGAUUACCGCCCCCCACCCACAUCCCAUACUUUUUUUUUAAAUAUUUUAUUUACAUUUUAGUUAUCGGCAGAGACAAUAUCUUUGUAUGUGGUGCUGAGGAUCGAACCUGGGCCUCACCCAUACCAGGGGAGCGCGCUACCGCGCUACCGCUUGAGCCACAUCCCCAGCCCCACAUCCCAUACUUUUGCUGGAGUCUCCCCUCCAGACCUGAGGGCAGGCCCUUAUGUUAGGGGUCUUGAUUCUCUGUGCAUUGAAUCCUGGAUUUUGCAUGUAAAAAUAACUGCUGAACAAAUAAUAUUGUUAUGACCUUGACCUUGGACCAUCUGAACCUCUUUCCCUGUCUGAGAGAUGAGGAUAAUCCUAUCCCAUUUGACGGUAGCUUUGAGAUUAAAUGAGAUCAUACCUAUGAGUUUCUGGUGCAGUACCCAGCACCUAAUCCAAAAGCAACUGAUCUUCUUCCUUUCUCUCUUGCCCGCUCUGACCUGUGAGCGUGCUAAGCUCAGGAUCUUGUUAACUGUGCUCAAAUCUGCCCACACUGCUGACACCCAGCGCAGCCUGGUGAACAAACAGCAAACGUGCACACGCUCAAGGCCACCUUUGCAAUGUGUCAUAACUGCCCCUUCAGCUUCAUUCUCUCUGCCAGAACCCUCUCUAGAGCACAAUCAUCUCUCACAGCAGCCAUGCCAGCCACCACCUACUGGUAUCCCCAUUCGGGGAGGCUUGUCCCUGCCAGCUGUACUGAACAUAGUACAAGAUUUGUCUUCAUAAAGCACAGCUCAGGCCAUGCCUCUGCCUUACUCAGGAGGCUUUGUGCCCUCUGCGUCUGACCCAACUACCCCCGCUUCCCAGAUGGACAUCUGAGGUUCGCCACAAUCCACCCCUGGCUGACCUGGCCAUGCAUCUCUCUGUCCCCCUCUAACCCUCUGCCUGGCACUCCCAGACCACAGUUCCUGGGGCUUUACAUCUGUGCUCUUGCUCAUGCUAUUCCCCCUGCUCUGGUGGCCUCCCUACAGCAUGGCACACCGCAUAUUCCAAGGUCCCUCCUGCCCCUGGAUUCCCACAGCACUGAACAGUGGUGCUCCCUGCACACUUGCUGCUUUGGGCCUUGUGUUUGCUGUGUGCAUGAGCCAGGUGGACACGCAGUGAACCCAUGGUAAGGAAUGCAUGUCCACCUCUCUACUCCCCUGCAUUUCCUCCCCCUCUUCUCUCUCACACUCGCACAUGUUUUCUUGAACACAGCAGGAGUAUAAUACAUAUUUCACAGGUGAGUCACUCAGUCUUACCUGCUCUUUUUUUGUAAAGGUGUCUUGAAUCGGUCUCCUGCUCCCUAAUGAUCUUGUCCUUGGUCUGUGACAACAGCCGCCUACAGGGUCCUUCUUCCUGUCUAAACCCCACAACAGAGCAAUGUUGGUCAAAUGAAAAUCUGAUCAUGCCUUCCCUCUGCUGAAAAUAUUUCAGGAGUUCCCCAUUGCCAUAAGACAAAACCUCAACUGCCUUCCUCUUCAGCCUAAUCUUCCUCUCAACCAUCAGUCCCCCGAAACCUCCUCCCGCUCCUCCCAAGCUAUUCAUAAUGCCAGGCGACCUGUGCUGUUUCUGACCUCUGGGUCUUGUCCCAUACUCUUUCCUCCUUUCCAAAUGAUACCCCACUUCCCUUCUACCCUGUCAUCUGAUACGCAGCUGCACAAGCCUCAAACCCAGUUCUGAGGACAGCUGCCUCUGUAAAGGAAGUGAAGCCAGACCACAGGACCCCCACCCCCUGCACUUCUCCUCACAAAUGAGCAUCCCCGCACUCCCUGUCACUAGGCAGCACAAUAUGGCCAGAUUCCUGUGAUUGCACAUCACCCUGUGUGGACAUGAACUGUGCUCCCUCCUGCCUCGUUUCCUGGCCCAGGAGCCCAGAGGUCAACCUGCUUCUGGUUCUCCUGAGUCCACACGCAGUGCUCACACUGGGAGACCCUUCAGUGAACCUUAGUGCAUGCAGGGCACAGGAAGGGAGGAGGUCCAGUGGAGACAAGCACAGCCAUCUGUGAAGAUCUGUGAAGAUCAGGCUGAUGGUCUCUUGCAUCUUAUUUUAGAGUCCAGGAUCCUAAUGACCAAUGACAAAAUGAUACUCCUGAGGCUCCUGCUCAGGCUCCCACCAACUGGUUCUCGGUGGCAAAGUCCUCUGGAAAUUCCCUGCAGCCCCCCAAAUGCCAGGACAACAGACAGGUUAUACAGGCUGCUAGGAAGCCAGCACAGCUCCAAAAGCAGAUCUGUUACCCCUAGGGUAGCAGGAAAUAAGUUCUGGCCCCAGUGUCAGUGUCAUGUUGAAACCCUCAAUACACCCAUUCUUCUCUAAGGAAGCUUUGAGGACAUCACCUUUGUGCUUGGAACUAGGGACAAAGAAAUAAACUAAAGCCAUUCCUGCCCUGGAGGAGACCUGCCUGGGGAAGCAGGUCAGUGAGCUCAGACACUUCCCCGAAGGAGCAAUGCUCCCAAUUUACUUCUUUUAACUUUCUAAAAUGUAUGGAGAUUUUUCCAUAGAUGAGAUGGCUUUAACAGCUUUUUAAGAUUUGAAUUUGCUUUUUGUUGAUAGGUCUACUUUUGUCUUGGUAACAGUAUUUCACAGUGCAUUCCUGGUGUCUCAGGUGUCUCAACUUUGUCCUUGGUUCUGAGCUGCCUGAGGCAGACAGAGGGACCCUCUGUUGGGAGGAUGACCGAGAGGGGGUCAGUACCAGCAGACAAUGGGGACGCCAGGGCCCAGGGAGGAGAAGACUGAGGGUCAGCGAGGCAGGGGUCAGAAAACAGAAAAGCAAGAAAAAGAAUAUGGAGGAGCAGAAAAAGAAUAUAUCCAGAAAAAUUCCAAUAUUCCAGAAUAUAUUCUUCUAAUGUAUAUAUAUAUAUAUAUAUAUAUAUAUAUAUAUAUAUUUUUUUUUUUUUUUUGCAAUUGGCAGAAGGGGAUUUAUUGAACCAGCAUGCUGGGGCUCCGUGCCCACUCAAGAAGGGAAAGCAGCCCAGAGCCCCGAGCAGGGGCUGAGCACUGCUUAAGUACACUUUUUGGGGAGGGCGGAGGGCUUUGUAUACAUCAGAACAAAUCAUCAUUAGGCACGGGAAAAUUGAACAACAACUCCUAAACCUGAUUAGUUCAUUCAUUGGCGGGAACAGGUCAGGCUGGAGUGAUAGGUCAUUCCUAAGGAGAGUACACAUUCAAACUGAUUGGUUCAGGCCCUGCAAGGCCUGCGUGCAACCACACAGACCCCUUCAGUUAUUAAACAACCAGACAAUGAGGGGAAAUGUUUACUGGGUGGUUCUAAGCAUUGUCUUAACAGCUACCGAAAUUUCAGGUUUUGCAGGUAACAUAGAAACCUAACAAUACCUCCUUUACAUUUUAACUCAGACCUUGCAGCUUAGAAACUUUUACAACACCCGGUCUUUUACCCUUUAACUUUUAUGCUUUAACUUCAAUUUCUUUUACCCUUACAUUCCCCACUCCUUUUUCUGACUACUUUUAAUCUUAAAAGUAAUGCAUCACGAUUAUUGAAGGGUUUUAUAUUUUAUGAGUUGUUUUACGUUCCCUGGAAUCAUUGCCAGCAUGGCCUCCAUUUUAGAUUUUACUCGGCAUUAGACCCGAUUUAUCUAACUACACUGACUACCUAACUUUAAAUCUGGCUUCAUUCCCCCCUCUAAUUUGGGAACUCCUCACUGCUGUAAGGAAGGGGGGGCGAAGAGAAUCUUUCUGGCUUCUUCAGGCUGAAAAGGGACGGUGUGGGGCAAGCAGUUUGGAGUCCCCCUUUAAUAAUCGGGUCUAUCGAGUGGUCCAUGAUAAAAGUCCAAUUGAGAAGUAUUAGGCUGGAGGGCCAUUCGAGGGAUAGGUGGUCUAUAAGAGAAACAAGAAUUCAUUAAUUUACUGGAACCAUAUUGAUGCAGCAAUAAAUGUCACAGCACAGGAAUAUGCCAAUGAGUAUAAUGGCCAAGACAGAGACUAACAAUGUUUUCCACCAGGAAGUACCAAGAACCAGAAGCUAAGAUAUUGUUUCCACGACAAAGUUGCUGAGGACAUGGCUUCUAUCUAAGCAUGUAAAUCUUUAAGGAUAUUUGUCACCUUGCCAGAAAUGUCAGGGAUGUAAACACAACAACUAACAUUUAGGUUUACAGAUGACCUUUUUACUAGUAUGACCUAUGUCUAAUAGAAUUCAGAAUUCCAGUUUUCCCAGUUCCUUCCAGACCUCAGCCAGGACUUAAGCUGAUAUGCAAAUAGAAGAAGCUUGGGGCACUCAGCAGGAGACAGAUUUCAGGCCCAAGGGGAAAAAAAAAAGAGUUAAAGUGUCUUUUUACCUGAACUCAAACUAGACCCCAACCAAAAAGUAAAUUAUAUGGUAUUUAUUAAUUACUGGCCAGUCAUCUUUUUUUUUAGGACUCUUGCUUUUUCUUAGAUUCUGUAUUUUUUUUGAGCUCAUGAUUUUGGUCCUACAGACCUAGGUUAAUGUUUUUUUCUGAUCAACUGUGGAAUUUUGAAACAUUGCAAUGGAGAUUUCACCUGAAAAAGCUACUAGGGUGUUACACUUGUGUUAUGUGUUGUAUGUCGGUAUGUCUGUAUGUGUAUAUGUCCAUAUAUCCUGCAGUGAUAUGACAAUUGACAGAUAAGGAGCGCUCAUAAAAAAAAAUUUAAAAAUGGAUCCAAAUAUCUUUGAUUCACGUGAUUUAAAUGGUUCAAUUUAAAUUGGGUAAAUAGAUAAAAUGAUGGUGUCUAUAAAAUAAUCUGCUUAAAUUCAGAAAUUUACAGAUAUUGUUUUAAAGUGUGAACAAAAGGAGGUUAACAGAUGGAAAAGAAAAACUAGAAAGUUUUAGGUAUGGAUUUAAUAGAGGGAAAAUGUGUUUCUGGAUAAGAGAGUCUGUGUGAUUAAGUAAUUAAGAGGGUUUAAAUAAGUGAUAAAAAGGUCUGUGUAAGUUGGUUAUAUGUGUAAGUUUUUGAGCAAGUAAUCUUAAAGAAAUUAAAAAUUAUACAACUAUGGUUAAACAACAACUGUUAUUUUUCAGUACUUUUCUUGUGCUCUCUUACUCUGCAUAAUGUUCUUCCAAAACCAAUUGCAGAAAGUUUCUAAUUAGACUUUCAACCAGCUUCUGCUUAGGCACUACCGGCCUCUGACGACUGAUGAACCCCUAGCAUCUUCAAGAGAGCAGUUCACUCAGUGCUGAAGCUCACUACCAAGCACGAUGGAAUGCAACGGACAUCAGACAGUGGGAGACAACAAGUUCGGAGAAUCUCAUAAUCUGCCAUCCUGGAUUCAUGAGUCUUUAUGUCCUUCUGAGCUUCCUCAUGGCCCUUGGUCUCUUUUCUGUCAGUCCCCCAGCAUGGAACUUCUGCCAAAAAUUGACCUUUGCUUUAAUCUUUAUCUUCAUUCUGUUUUUAUUCGCUCUGAUUUUCUUCAAGUGCUGGUAACACCAACUUGGCGCCUAUCUGGAAGAACUUACUAAUAAACGGGUUGCCUGCCACUUAUCUAAGCCCUACCAUCUCCCCCUUAGUUCUAUAUAAGCACACAGCUUUUUGCAAGGUUAAUUAUGGUGCUGUUAAUGUGUUCAUAUCUUCCAGGUAUACAAGUCUGUAAGGUAGAAGCUUCAAAAGAACAUUGUAUCAAGCUGGUGUUCUAAAGUUGUAUGGUAAUUUUAGACUUACAAGAAAAAAACAUGUUGGAGAUUUGUUCAUAUCAUUUGUGUUCUACAACUGGACUUGUUAUCAAUAAGAUAUGUACAGUUCCAUGUUACUUUUCACACUGAGAUACAAUUUAAAUGUAUUUUUAAGUUAAUGAGAGCCUAAUCUGUGUGAAGGUCUUAUUGCAAAACACAAAAGUACAUUACUACUUUUCUACAAGAGGUUAAAAGCUUUCAGCCUUUAAUUCAUGUUUUAAAUGUGAUAUUAUGUUGUGUUAGCUAAUGUUCAUGUAAACUUGAACAACAAUUUAUGUAAACUUUGUAAAAUGAUCAGCUUCAGAACUAUAGUACUUGAGAUUUAUAAAGAGCCCUGCCUUACUUGAGAUAAGGCUCUGUCCCAUCUCACUACAUGUGAAAGUGGCUAUAAAAGAAGUAAGCCAGAUUUCAGUACAGUUAAAGUUACGUCCAAAAGUAGGUUUUUGCCAAGAUUACUAGGAUCUCAAAUAGGGAAUUAUGAUGUAUAACUCUGCCAGAAUUCAAGGUAGCCAUUAUGUAAGCUAAAUAUGUUUUUACCCUAGUUAGUUUUGUUUUGUAGUUUGCUUAUAGAUGGUUUAAGGAUUGCCUGUUAAUGUUUUAAAAAGGUAUUGCUUUAAGAACACAACCUGGGUCAACAUAAGAUAAGGAGUUAUCACCUACAGGAUAGAGAGAUAGACAUUAAAGCCCAGUGCUCUUAAUAUAAGGCUGUUAACUUAUUUGCUGGAUGUUUAAGAUCAAGUUUUUAAAAUUAGUUAAAUUAAAAGGGCCAAAAAAAACCAAUAUUUGGCUAUUGCCCUCUGAGUCAGUCUGAAUCAGGGAAUAGGGGACUUCUCCAAAGGGCUCAGCAACUCUAGGCCACAUAACCUCCUGAGCAGGGAGAUUAAUGAGACCAGUGGAGGACAGAAAGCCAAUCAGUGCAUUUGCUGUAAAGAGGAGGGUCAUUAGAAAGGGGAGACAUCCCUGAUGCUUCCAAGGGAAACCACAUGGUCAAGCAAGGCCAGGACCCAUCCUAAGGUAAAUGGCACUAGCAGAACUGAGAAGCUGCUAUGAAGUUCCCCGAGGACUCCCAGGGAAACUCAGCUGACUGUUGACAAUAGAUAAGAACAAAAGUCAGUUUGACUUGCUUCAUCUUAAACACUUAGCAAAGAUAGUUAAAGCCAAAGCACAGCUGUUCCUAGACAUUUUAAAUUAAAUAAUAAUUAAAUGUAACUUCCAAAAAUAAGUAAACUGGAGGCUACAAAAGAGAUUCUCAGACAGGAAUGUCUGAUAACUAUUAAAAUGAACUACCAGAGUAGUUUUUAGUUUAAGGCCCACAGAUAUUCCUAACCUACACAGGUAGGCUUGGUGUUUGCUAGUAUGGUUAUCCAGCCCUAAAUAGCAAAUUAAAGGUUUCUCUAUUAGACAUAGGUCAUACUAGUAAAAAGGACACCUGUAAACCUAAAUGUUAGUUGUUGUGUUUACAUCCCUGACAUUUCUGGCAAGGUGACAAAUAUCCUUAAAGAUUUACAUGCUCAGAUAGAAGCCAUGUCCUCAGCAACUUUGUCAUGGAAACAAUAUCUUAGCUCCUGGUUCUUGGUACUUCCUGGUGGAAAACAUUGUUUGUCUUUGUCUUUGCCAUCAUACUCAUUGGCAUAUUCCUGUGCUAUGGCAUUUAUUGCUGCAUCAAUAUGGUUCCAGUACUAAUGAAUUCUUGCUUCUCUUAUAGACCACCUAUCACUCGAAUGGCCCUCCAGCCUAAUACUUCUCAAUUGAACUUUUAUCAUGGACCACUCGAUAGACCCGAUAUUUUUAAAGGGGGACUCCAAACUGCUUGCCCCACACCAUCCCUUUUCAGCCUGAAGAAGCCAGAAAGAUUCUCUUCGCCCCCCCUUCCUUACAGCAGUAAGGAGUUCCCAAAUUAGAGGGGGGAAUAAAGGCAGAUUUUAAGUUAGGUAGUCAGUGUAGUUAGAUAAAUCGGGGUCUAAUACCGAGUGGAAUCUAAAAUGGAGGCCAUGCUGAAAAUGAUUCCAGGGAACGCAAAACAACUCAUGAAAUGUGAAACCCUUCAAUAAUCGUGAUGCAUUACUUUUAAGAUUAAAAGUAGUCAGAAAAAAGGAGUGGGGAAUGUAAGGGUAAAAGAAAUUGAAGUUAAAGCGUAAAAGUUAAAGGGUAAAAGAUCGGGUGUUGUAAAAGUUUCUAAGCUGCAAGGUCUGAGUUAGCUGUUAAGACAAUGCUUAGAACCGCCCAGUAAACAUUUCCCCUGAUUGGUUGUUUAAUAACUGAAGGGCUCUGUGUGGUCGCACAUAGGCAUUGCAGGGUCUGGACCAAUCAGUUUAAAUGUAACCCCUCCUUAGGAAUGACCUAUCACUCCAGCCUGACCUGUUCCCAC
RNAcentral lists this long non-coding RNA (9781 nucleotides) under Marmota monax (woodchuck). Lineage: Eukaryota; Metazoa; Chordata; Mammalia; Rodentia; Sciuridae. The record is from RNAcentral.